RNAcentral lists this unclassified non-coding RNA (337 nucleotides) under soil metagenome. Its description in RNAcentral is "partial contains 5.8S ribosomal RNA, internal transcribed spacer 2, and large subunit ribosomal RNA". The stretch from base 1 to 120 matches the Rfam family "5.8S ribosomal RNA", at positions 35 to 154 of the family's 154-position model. The record is from RNAcentral.
GAUGAAGAACGAAGCGAAAUGCGAUAAGUAGUGUGAAUUGCAGAAUUCAGUGAAUCAUCGAAUCUUUGAACGCACAUUGCGCCCCUUGGUAUUCCAUGGGGCAUGCCUGUUCGAGCGUCAUUUGUACCUUCAAGCUCUGCUUGGUGUUGGGUGUUUGUCUCGCCUCUGCGUGUAGACUCGCCUCAAAACAAUUGGCAGCCGGCGUAUUGAUUUCGGAGUGCAGUACAUCUCGCGCUUUGCACUCAUAACGACGACGUCCAAAAGUACAUUUUUACACUCUUGACCUCGGAUCAGGUAGGGAUACCCGCUGAACUUAAGCAUAUCAAUAAGCGGAGGA